UCGCUGACAUUAUUUUGAAAUAUGUCCGGAAGUGAAGCUGCGCGUGAUCUUGCAUUGUUAUUGAAUUCGUUGAGUUUGUAAAAACAGUAAUUUUUCCGUCAUCAUAGAUUCACUAAUUAAAGUUUCGGUUGUUGCGAAUGUGUACGGAUACGCGCACAGGCUCGUGAUCGAUAUUCAUCUUUGACAGUUUGUUGUUGUCCUCAGUCGAUCAACAGGAUGUUGUGCGAGCUGCUUCUCUCUUCUAUCUGGCUUCUCUUUGUGAUCUUCUGGUUGGAGACCAUCAGUGUUUGGCUCUUCGUGUGUCUCUACUAUCAGGACAGAGUUUUCUAUCACUGGGGUUCUGGGGAUUUGUCAGAUGAGCCCGGUCUCUUCCUCUAUGUGCUGAACAGGUGAUCUUCAGUUCUUAUAAGAACAGUAGGGUUUUAUAUGAAUGCCCUGGCUCAAAUUCAGAUUAGAUCUUACUUCAUCUACUUCAGUCCUCUUUAAGACACCUAAACCCUUUUUGGACCAAGAGGUAAACCAAAUGAAAAACGACUGGGUCCGUUUUUUUUACCUUUGAUGUUUUAUGUUCUGGCACAGAGUUGAUUUCUCUACACAAACAUGAGCAUGUGAAGGCAUCAAGUGGAAGUAUUAGACUGAAACUGAAGCAAGAAGAUGUCCAUGAAUCAAAGGGUCAGAGGUCAUAGUGAUGUCACUUUUCUGAAACCCUUGUGGAGCAAGAGCUGAACCGUCUGAGAGUGUGUAAACUGCCUUUAAAUGGAUUUAACUCAGCUAUAUUCAGCUGUUUUAUUUGAAUCUUUUUCAAGACUGAUAAUGUUUCUACACAACAUAUUUGACAAACAUUGUUUCACUUUGGAACAUAAUUUGUAUUUUUAAGGCAACAUAAUGAAAAAGAGUUCAACUUCAUUCAUAAGAUGAUUGAUUUCUAAACACCAUCAGUCAUGAUCUUACUGAUGUGUGCUGUUUAAAAGACUAUAAGAUUGGCAGAUGGCCUUUUUUCUAAAUAUGUUUUACUAUUUUUGUACUUUUUCUGUUAUUUUCCAAUAAAUAAAUAAAGCUGGUGA
Paramisgurnus dabryanus is the source of this 1064-nucleotide long non-coding RNA. RefSeq lists it as uncharacterized. NCBI's taxonomy places the organism in Eukaryota, Metazoa, Chordata, Actinopteri, Cypriniformes, Cobitidae. The record is from RefSeq and is a predicted model, not a curated record.